CCGCACAGCUCCAAUCCCUCCCUCGCCAUUCGCCAAUCAUCAUCUGUAAACACCUUCGGACCUUCGCCACAGCCACCGCCGACGCCACCGCCGACGCCAUCCCCACCGCCACAGCCACAGCUUAAUCUCCACCGCCACUCUUGACACCGCCUCUCCCUUCUCCCCUCUGCCACUUUGCGCUCUGCAUUCUCCAGUCCGCCUCUGCCUAUACAGUCCGCCUUCACCACCGCCUCCGCCUCUACAGACGCAGUCUGCCAGCCGGUCUCGCCACGCAGUCUGCCAGCCGGUCUCGCCACGCAGUCACGCCCGUCGCCGAACUCGCCUCUCGCACUCUCGGUUAGCGCCUCCAGCCCUCCAGAGUCCUAUCUCGCCCUCUUGUUCUGGCAUAGUCUGAAAGAAGUUCUAGAUGCCCCCAAUGUAAUGAAUAUGAUUAAAGAUACAGAAGCUGCAAAAGAGGUACGAGUCCUCAAGGAUUUCUUCAACAUGCUUUCAAAUGUUAGAGUCCAGGUUGCAAAAUUUCAAGACUCAAAGUAUUCAUAGCCUCCCAGUAAUUGUUCCUGUAAUAGUCAGGACUGUCAACUGCGGCCAGAGCUGGGAUAUCUGUAGCAGCAAUAGUAGGAGUAUUUUUAUUGGCAUUGUAAAUUAUUAUUAUUAUUAUUAUUAUUAUUUUUUGAAAACGACAUUGUAAAUUAUUGAUUAUUUGUAGGAGUAUUUUUAUUGGCAUUGU
Ipomoea triloba (trilobed morning glory) is the source of this 727-nucleotide long non-coding RNA. RefSeq lists it as uncharacterized. The transcript is spliced from 5 exons. The record is from RefSeq and is a predicted model, not a curated record. NCBI's taxonomy places the organism in Eukaryota, Viridiplantae, Streptophyta, Magnoliopsida, Solanales, Convolvulaceae.